GGGGAGGCAGCAGUAGGGAAUUUUCCACAAUGGACGAAAGUCUGAUGGAGCAACGCCGCGUGAACGAUGAAGGCUUUCGGGUCGUAAAGUUCUGUUGUUAGGGAAGAAACAGUGCUAUUUAAAUAAGAUAGCACCUUGACGGUACCUAACGAGAAAGCCACGGCUAACUACGUGCCAGCAGCCGCGGUAAUACGUAGGUGGCAAGCGUUGUCCGGAAUUAUUGGGCGUAAAGCGCGCGCAGGUGGCUAUGUAAGU
RNAcentral lists this ribosomal RNA (255 nucleotides) under Brevibacillus laterosporus. Its description in RNAcentral is "partial 16S ribosomal RNA". It matches the Rfam family "Bacterial small subunit ribosomal RNA", at positions 342 to 588 of the family's 1533-position model. The record is from RNAcentral. Lineage: Bacteria; Bacillati; Bacillota; Bacilli; Caryophanales; Paenibacillaceae.